AUCAUCAUGUUGCUUCCAUGUCCU
RNAcentral lists this non-coding RNA (24 nucleotides) under Arabidopsis thaliana (thale cress). Lineage: Eukaryota; Viridiplantae; Streptophyta; Magnoliopsida; Brassicales; Brassicaceae. The record is from RNAcentral.